Molecule: non-coding RNA, 506 nt
Organism: Cinara cedri
Lineage: Eukaryota; Metazoa; Arthropoda; Insecta; Hemiptera; Aphididae
Source: the annotation of a GenBank genome assembly
GGUCAACUAGUUAUAUUAUAAUAUAAUAUUAUGUAGCAUUAAUAUUAUCUACACUACAUUUUAUUAUAGUGGACACCACUUUAUUUUAUCAGUUUAUAAGUAAGUUUAGAUUGAUACAAAAUAGUAUGUAUAACAAUUAAAUAUUUCAACAUAAUAAUAAGACAUGAUAAUGAAAACCGGACAACACCACUCUACUAUUUUCCCCUUUCUUUCUCAUAACAGACUCCUCGACUCAUUCGGCCAACGGAUCCUGCCUUGGCGACUGGUCAUCUUUUUCGUCUUCCCGCGAGUGCGUGUUGUUCCGGCUUCUAACAUUCCGACAUCAUCAUUUUUAACUAAAUCAAGUGUUUAUUUUAUCAUUCCUACUACCUAUUCGCAUCAACAUAAUAAAUAAAUAUAAUCAUACCUGUAUUCAAAAUCAACAUUGUUGCUGAGAAUACUCCGUUCAGGAUAGUUAAGUAUAUUAUUGUUACCCUUCAUAGUUUAUAUUUUAUAUUAAUUGUUUC